RNAcentral lists this ribosomal RNA (443 nucleotides) under uncultured bacterium. RNAcentral describes it as "partial 16S ribosomal RNA". It matches the Rfam family "Bacterial small subunit ribosomal RNA", at positions 338 to 795 of the family's 1533-position model. The record is from RNAcentral.
CCUACGGGAGGCAGCAGUGGGGAAUAUUGGGCAAUGGGCGCAAGCCUGACCCAGCAACGCCGCGUGAAGGAAGAAGGCUUUCGGGUUGUAAACUUCUUUUCUCAGGGACGAAGCAAGUGACGGUACCUGAGGAAUAAGCCACGGCUAACUACGUGCCAGCAGCCGCGGGAAUACGUAGGUGGCAAGCGUUAUCCGGAUUUACUGGGUGUAAAGGGCGAGUAGGCGGGAAAGCAAGUCAGAUGUGAAAACCAUGGGCUCAACCUGUGGCCUGCAUUUGAAACUGUUUUUCUUGAGUACUGGAGAGGCAGACGGAAUUCCGAGUGUAGCGGUGAAAUGCGUAGAUAUUAGGGGGAACACCAGUGGCGAAGGCGGUCUGCUGGACAGCAACUGACGCUGAGGCGCGAAAGCGUGGGGAGCAAACAGGAUUAGAUACCCGAGUAGUC